Long non-coding RNA from Stegodyphus dumicola, 993 nucleotides. RefSeq lists it as uncharacterized. The record is from RefSeq and is a predicted model, not a curated record. Lineage: Eukaryota; Metazoa; Arthropoda; Arachnida; Araneae; Eresidae.
CGCUUCUAGGCGGGAUUUCUUCGAGGGAUUCUAACAUUAAACAACCCUGCAGUGCCAAGAUUAUUCCAAAGGGGUCUGGAUGGGCUCUCCUGUGGUUUUUGGAGGCAUUUGACCUCUGCGGUUUUGUCCAGGACGAUUCUCACUAAAGUCCAUUAACCUGUUUCUUCCCUGGAAGAAGUGCAAACUAAAUAAAAAUAAGCCAGUGUAUACGCUUAACUACGAACCGGAGAAAAUUUUUGUGAAGUUCAUAGACCUCAAAGGAGCUUUGAACUCAGAGCUGCUUGAAACAAGGGGAAAGACUGCUGUCUUUCUUUACAACGAUUGUCGUUUUCGCUGAUGUAAAAUACAAGCUGUAGAAGUGAAGUAAAUUUGAUAAUCCUGUACAACGUUCUACAGGAAGGUACAAAGAUAACAGUACAAGUCACCAGAAGACUAUCAAAAGUAAAAGGACUCAGAGACUGAGAAUUAUGCUGUGGAUAAAGUAUCUUUCGCGUUCAUGGAAAUGAAAACACUUCAAAGGGAUAUUACAUGAAGGGGAGGAAACGGGGAAGAAAUAAUUGAGGAUAUAUGCAUUGUUGAAAAAGAACUCCUGCUGCCAUCUAGUUCAUCAGGUUUUUGUAUGUCUGGCACUGGAAUACAAGUGGCCCAAGCUAUGAAGGUCGAAUUGGGAAGUAGAGUCAAUCCUCUGGAAGUUGAUGUUUUCUCAAUUGUCGAAGCCAAUAUUCAUGAUAAAUAUUAAAGAAAGAUUUAAAUUUAAGAACUAUUCUAUGUACUUUUUGGUAAAAACUAGGCAAAUAGCCAGUGGAACACAAGAUACUAUUACUGGAAAAUUUUCCAUUGUUAAGAAGAUAGAUAAUGUAAAAGAUAAAAUGGAGUGAAAUAUAUGGUCGCUGUAAUAAAAUAAGGACGUACACUUAUAUAAAAUAUAAUAAUUAUAGUAAUAUAAUAGUACUAUAAUUAUUAUAUUUUAUUAUUGAUAUUAGAAUAUUAUUA